This 355-nucleotide ribosomal RNA is filed under the name uncultured Pseudomonas sp. RNAcentral describes it as "bacterial SSU rRNA". It matches the Rfam family "Bacterial small subunit ribosomal RNA", at positions 1029 to 1382 of the family's 1533-position model. Lineage: Bacteria; Pseudomonadati; Pseudomonadota; Gammaproteobacteria; Pseudomonadales; Pseudomonadaceae. The record is from RNAcentral.
CUGACACAGGUGCUGCAUGGCUGUCGUCAGCUCGUGUCGUGAGAUGUUGGGUUAAGUCCCGUAACGAGCGCAACCCUUGUCCUUAGUUACCAGCACGUUAUGGUGGGCACUCUAAGGAGACUGCCGGUGACAAACCGGAGGAAGGUGGGGGAUGACGUCAAGUCAUCAUGGCCCUUACGGCCUGGGCUACACACGUGCUACAAUGGUCGGUACAAAGGGUUGCCAAGCUGCGAGGUGGAGCUAAUCCCAUAAAACCGAUCGUAGUCCGGAUCGCAGUCUGCAACUCGACUGCGUGAAGUCGGAAUCGCUAGUAAUCGUGAAUCAGAAUGUCACGGUGAAUACGUUCCCGGGCCUU